UACGUAGGGUGCGAGCGUUGUCCGGAAUUAUUGGGCGUAAAGAGCUUGUAGGCGGUCUGUCGCGUCUGCUGUGAAAAUCCGGGGCUCAACCCCGGACUUGCAGUGGGUACGGGCAGACUAGAGUGUGGUAGGGGAGACUGGAAUUCCUGGUGUAGCGGUGAAAUGCGCAGAUAUCAGGAGGAACACCGAUGGCGAAGGCAGCUCGCUGGGACGGUACUGACGCUGAGACGCGAAAGCGUGGGGAGCAAACAGG
RNAcentral lists this ribosomal RNA (253 nucleotides) under uncultured bacterium. Its description in RNAcentral is "partial 16S ribosomal RNA". It matches the Rfam family "Bacterial small subunit ribosomal RNA", at positions 524 to 776 of the family's 1533-position model. The record is from RNAcentral.